This 464-nucleotide ribosomal RNA is filed under the name uncultured bacterium. RNAcentral describes it as "bacterial SSU rRNA". It matches the Rfam family "Bacterial small subunit ribosomal RNA", at positions 330 to 792 of the family's 1533-position model. The record is from RNAcentral.
ACCAGACUCCUACGGGAGGCAGCAGUGAGGAAUAUUGGUCAAUGGCCGGAAGGCUGAACCAGCCAAGCCGCGUGAAGGACGAAGGUGCCAAGCAUUGUAAACUUCUUUUGUCAAGGGACAAAAUCAGGCUCGAGAGCCUGACCGAGGGUACUUGAAGAAAAAGCAUCGGCUAACUCCGUGCCAGCAGCCGCGGUACUACGGAGGAUGCGAGCGUUAUCCGGAUUUAUUGGGUUUAAGGGGGGCGUAGGCGGUCUGUUAAGCCAGCGGGAAAAGCCCGGGCCCCACCCCCGGCGAGCCGUUGAAACUGGCUGUCUUGAGAUGUCGAGAGGUAUGCGGAAUGCGCAGUGUAGCGGUGAAAUGCUUAGAUAUUGCGCAGAACUCCGAUUGCGAAGGCAGCAUACCGGCGGCGAUCCGACGCUGAGGCACGAAAGCGUGGGUAUCGAACAGGAUUAGAUACCCCGGUA